RNAcentral lists this ribosomal RNA (680 nucleotides) under uncultured fungus. RNAcentral's name for it is "eukaryotic LSU rRNA". The stretch from base 253 to 407 matches the Rfam family "5.8S ribosomal RNA". The record is from RNAcentral. Lineage: Eukaryota; Fungi.
GUAUCACCAUUGUGCAUUGUCACCCCCUUUAGAUCCAGAAAUCGGAAACGAAGAAAGCGGUAUUACGGUCAUUAUUGUAAUUUGAAGACCCAGCUUUUUUCCAGGAUUCGUCCGCUGAUUUCUAACUAUAUCUAGAGUGUAAUUCAAAUUUACAUAACUUAUUGAUUAACAAUUGAAACCCCUUUUAAACUUUUGAACUAAUGUUUUCAUACUCCAAUAAAACGGAGAUGAAAUUCUUACGAAACAAAGAACAACUCUUAGCAACGGAUAUCUUGGUUCUCGUAACGAUGAAGAACGCAGCGAAAUGCGAUACGUAAUGCGAAUUGCAGAAUUCAGUGAAUCAUCAAAUCUUUGAACGCAAAUUGCGCUUUCUGGAUAGGCCAGGGAGCAUGCCUCUUUGAGCAUCGUUUCUACCAAACUCGUUAGCUUUCUUGGCAACAAGGAGGCGAGCGGAUAAUGUGCUUCUCGCAGGAAACUGUGAGUGGCAUUAAGAAGCGUGAGACUUGUUUUAACUCUCUAGUGUUCGACCUCUUUAUUGAGGGCGCCUUCCGACUCGGAAGAUUACACUGGUGACGUAGAUAAUUAAUUUUUUCAACGUUGCCGGCGUGAUCGGAUGUGUUAGAUAUGGCUAAGACUCUGGGAACCGAAACUCGACUCGUAUGAAAAUUAAUCAAUAUCAU